AAUCUCAGUUCAGACUGCAGGCUGCAACUCGCCUGCACGAAGUCGGAAUUGCUAGUAAUCGUAGGUCAGCAUACUACGGUGAAUACGUUCCCGGGCCUUGUACACACCGCCCGUCAAACCAUGAGAGUUGGCAACACCCGAAGUCGGUAGUCUAACCGCAAGGAGGACGCCGCCGAAGGUGGGGUUGAUGACUGGGGUGAAGUCGUAACAAGGUAUC
Molecule: ribosomal RNA, 217 nt
Filed under: uncultured bacterium
Lineage: Bacteria
Description: partial 16S ribosomal RNA
Rfam family: Bacterial small subunit ribosomal RNA
Source: RNAcentral